AUUAGUGGCGGACGGGUGAGUAACACGUGGGAACGUUCCUUUUGGUUCGGAACAACUCAGGGAAACUUGAGCUAAUACCGGAUAAGCCUUUCGAGGGAAAGAUUUAUCGCCAUUAGAGCGGCCCGCGUAGGAUUAGCUAGUUGGUGGGGUAAAGGCCCACCAAGGCUACGAUCCUUAGCUGGUCUGAGAGGAUGAUCAGCCACAUUGGGACUGAGACACGACCCAAACUCCUACGGGAGGCAGCAGUGGGGAAUCUUGCGCAAUGGGCGAAAGCCUGACGCAGCCAUGCCGCGUGAAUGAUGAAGGUCUUAGGAUUGUAAAAUUCUUUCACCGGGGACGAUAAUGACGGUACCCGGAGAAGAAGCCCCGGCUAACUUCGUGCCAGCAGCCGCGGUAAUACGAAGGGGGCUAGCGUUGCUCGGAAUUACUGGGCGUAAAGGGAGCGUAGGCGGAUAGUUUAGUCAGAGGUGAAAGCCCAGGGCUCAACCUUGGAAUUGCCUUUGAUACUGGCUAUCUUGAGUACGGAAGAGGUAUGUGGAACUCCGAGUGUAGAGGUGAAAUUCGUAGAUAUUCGGAAGAACACCAGUGGCGAAGGCGACAUACUGGUCCGUUACUGACGCUGAGGCUCGAAAGCGUGGGGAGCAAACAGGAUUAGAUACCCUGGUAGUCCACGCUGUAAACGAUGAGUGCUAGUUGUCGGCAGGCAUGCCUGUCGGUGACGCAGCUAACGCAUUAAGCACUCCGCCUGGGGAGUACGGUC
Molecule: ribosomal RNA, 760 nt
Filed under: uncultured bacterium
Lineage: Bacteria
Description: bacterial SSU rRNA
Rfam family: Bacterial small subunit ribosomal RNA
Source: RNAcentral